UUUUUUAUUUCUAUCUCCUCUAUAUUGUUCUCAACAACAACUUCUUCUGUUUUUGUUUCCUCUUCCAACAUCUCUAGCUCUUCUUCCUCUUUCUUUUCCUCAUUGAGAACCUUAUCAUGUGCAAAGAUAGUGGCUUGACAUUCUUCUUUAGGGUUGACUUCAGUAUCAACCUUAAUAAUGCCCAAAGCCUUCAGGGCAUGAGAGUGUUGUUCCUGCAACAAAC
RNAcentral lists this long non-coding RNA (223 nucleotides) under Vigna radiata. Its description in RNAcentral is "long non-coding RNA (VRAD_LNC012443)". The record is from RNAcentral. Lineage: Eukaryota; Viridiplantae; Streptophyta; Magnoliopsida; Fabales; Fabaceae.